CGGACGGGUGAGUAACACGUGGAUAACCUACCUAUAAGACUGGGAUGACUUCGGGAAACCGGAGCUAAUACCGGAUAAUAUAUUGAACCGCAUGGUUCAAUAGUGAAAGACGGUUUUGCUGUCACUUAUAGAUGGAUCCGCGCCGCAUUAGCUAGUUGGUAAGGUAACGGCUUACCAAGGCAACGAUGCGUAGCCGACCUGAGAGGGUGAUCGGCCACACUGGAACUGAGACACGGUCCAG
RNAcentral lists this ribosomal RNA (241 nucleotides) under uncultured Staphylococcus sp. RNAcentral's name for it is "partial 16S ribosomal RNA". It matches the Rfam family "Bacterial small subunit ribosomal RNA", at positions 99 to 334 of the family's 1533-position model. Lineage: Bacteria; Bacillati; Bacillota; Bacilli; Caryophanales; Staphylococcaceae. The record is from RNAcentral.